UCGCAGUCGCAGUCGCAGCAGUUGCCGUCGUCGUCGUCGUCGUCGUCGUCGUGGUUGUCGUUGUCGUUGUCUCGCAUCCGUGCCCGUCUUACUGUGUCUGCGUGUGUGCGUGUGUGUGUGUGUGUGUGUGUGUGCGUGUGAGUGUGUGUCUGUCUGUCUGCGUGUGUGUGCCAGCUGCGUGUAGGUUCUGUGAGUCUGAAUGAAUACUACUCUGCACACAAAUUUGAAGAAUUCAUCGGGAAAAUGAAAAACUUAAUGCAAAUAAGCAGGCGAGAAGAAAAACAAAUACGAAAAUAGCAUAGAAAAAAAGAAUAAAAAAAAAAGAGAAAACGAACAACGAAUUGAGCAAAGGAAGCGGAAACGAUUUUGUUUUCUGUUAUUGUUGUUGUUGUUCAAUCUUUUUGGCUGCUUCCCGUUUUGAGACGCGCUUUGUGCCAAGGACACAAACAGGCGAUAGGCAGCCCAUAGUGAAAUAGAGGGGAAAAAGACGGAGAAGGAGAAGGAGAAACAGAGAAUGAAAGUGAAGCAGCAGCUGGAGAAACAUAAGAAGGAUCAAGGAACACAAGGAGCAACAGUGGAGGCCACCAAAAACAAAAA
This is a long non-coding RNA of Drosophila innubila, 597 nucleotides long. RefSeq lists it as uncharacterized. The transcript has 3 exons. NCBI's taxonomy places the organism in Eukaryota, Metazoa, Arthropoda, Insecta, Diptera, Drosophilidae. The record is from RefSeq and is a predicted model, not a curated record.